Molecule: long non-coding RNA, 12617 nt
Organism: Cygnus olor (mute swan)
Lineage: Eukaryota; Metazoa; Chordata; Aves; Anseriformes; Anatidae
Exons: 3
Source: RefSeq, a predicted model, not a curated record
AAAAAAACACACACAAAUUUUUUUUUUUUUUCUCCAGGUGGCAGUCACUCAAAUGAGAGGACUACAGAAAUCCAUUCCAAGUUAGGCCCAACUCCCUAAAUGUAUUUUUUUAUAGGCAUGUACAGCAUUAAUGGGGUCUGCACAACUGCUCUAUUUAAAUUCCUUUUAACUAUUCCCAUCUCUUUAGACGUUUUUGUGAAAUUUUGUGUGAAAAACUCAGCAAACUUAGCCCUGGAAAUCAGUUUACAAGGUAUUUUUCCAUUAUCAUUUUCUGUUCCUGUUUCCUCAGCUAACCUUUUUUUCCCCAGUAUUUGUACCUCACUUUGUCCAGUCCUUUUGCCAUUGCUGUCUUAGUUACCUUCUGGUUCUGUGUUCAUCAUCUCCUAUCGUCUCUCAGAAGAGAAAAAACACCACACGAUGCAACUGUUCAAUGUUUGCCAACCCCAGUGGAACAUGACAGAUUACAAAGGAAUUUCUUCCAGAGGAUAUCUUCAAAGGAUGUUCACAGAUGCAUUUUAAAAUAAAUUGGGAGAAUGAAACAUGACAUUGGCAGCAGUAAGCACUUCCAUCUCUUGUCUUAGACUCUAUGAGAACCUACAGCCCUGUACACAAAGCAAGAGAUGUGCCCAGAAAUGUAUGCCAAGGAGCUGCCUAGGCAAUGAGAGACUGAGGUAUGUCUUAAGCUCUUUCACUGGGACAGAGAUCCUUAUUUUGUAAGUGGUAAGGAAUUAUGUUCUUCUCUUUGAAAUUCACUUUGUGAAACCAUCCCUUCCGAGUCUGUUAGAUGAGCCAACCUUUCUGAUAAAACCUUUACAGAACUGAAAAAAAUUGCUGAUACAUACAGGCUUUUCUGCACAUCUAGGUAUCUGUAGAUGCAAAGAAAUAGGUAAUAGUACAAAACUGAGGUGACGCUGAUCUGACUGUUUGUAAGACAAGCCUCAUUUCUGGAGAACAGCUGAGCACUGAGGGAUAGGAAGGCUCAAGAUGACUCCUGGCUGCCAGCAUGGAAGAAAGACAAAGAUUAAACAACCAUAUAGCUGUGCUCUGCAUCAUUGUGGGGCCACCUUUAACUCUAGUAUUAGUAAAAUAGUUUUGGGGAUCUCCGUUUUUACUUACUGGGAAAAGACAGAUAGCACUUUGAUAUCUAGAUGUUUCAGUCAGUACAUGUUUGAAUCUUCCUGUUGUUGGAUAUGCUGUUAUGUAUUUGUCUGAAUGAAGCCAAUGCCUAGUUUGUUUGUUUGUUUGUUUGUUUCCCAAUGAAGGGAGACUGGAUGAUAGCAGGCUGCAUGAAACAGGAGCAAUCAUAUUCUUACUAGCUCAUUUUGCUCUCUGGUAGUAUCAAUCUUACGCUUUUGACUUUUUUUUCAGACAAAAUAAGCUUCCACUCCUAGUUACUUGCGUAUCUGUGGGUAUGGACAUAAUCUUGUAGGCAACAUUAGAAACUCAGUAUUCACGAGUGCAUUUACUUCUGCAAAUUCCUGUUCUGCUUAUAAGAAAAGGUCAGGGUAGUUACCACUGUGUAGUAAGUUAACACAUACUGAUUUUUCUUAAUUUGUGUUGAUUUUUUUCAGAUUUCACCCACAGUAAAUAUAAUUUAUUCUUUGCAAGGAGAAAAAAAUUAAGGCUCUGGGAGGUUAAUGAACUUGUUUGUUCACACUGUUCUAAUAGAUUACAUGCCAGAGUAGGAGCCAAAAACAUGAAUUCUGAUUGUGUUCUGAAAUGCACUUGCAAUGUAAGAGUACAGUUCCCUGUGGUUCAUUUUCCCAGACAGACAAUGAACUAUGGAUCUCUUCUUCUGAGGUUAAUUGGAGUCUCUGUACCUUUCCUUAAAUUAAAGAAAUGCCCUGAGGAAAUUGAUGCACCAAAUGUGUCUCAAGAACUUUACAUCCAGUUUAAGGUGGAACUCAGAAGGGAAAGUGGUGAGUGGUGACCACAAGCUGAAUGCAGCAGCAAAACAGUGCAGUGCAUACCAGGUAUGCAGGUAACACGCAUACAUUCCAGGGAAAAGCAAAAUCACUGCCACUCUUAGCAGUUUCUUAUUCCUGAAAAAUCUUGAGGAAAUCCGCAUUUUAUACACAGUACAACUAGGGUACUUUCUAGAGCUGCAGACUGAGUUACUCUGUAAUGAAGUAUUGAUUUUGCAGCUAGAAAGGUCUGAUCAUUUCUGGCUGAGAAAAGAGGACAGACACCUAAACAGUUUGUGCAGUGCAAUAAAGGGAGCAGGUUCCUGCUGCCCCAGCAUUUGCUGGAGUCAACAACUAAUGGGUUGUAUGAAAAAAAGAAGGCUUUUUCUUUUUUUUUUUUUUUUUUUAGGAUGGCUCUGAAACUGGAGGGUUGUUUCAAGCCUAAUUCAUCCUUUUUAAAUCCUACUUGGAUAAACAUUAGCCUAAACUACCAGCAUGUUCUAGUGCAAACCCUGAGAGAAAACGUGGGCCCCAUGAGAAGGUGCUGUUUUUUUCCCCAGGGAUCAGAGAGAAUAAUGCCUGCUGAACCGUGGGAGUCAACUCUGUAACAGAUAGGUUUUGUCUUCUCUGUGGACGUUUUCAAGUUCUAGGUGUUAUCUUGGACAAACAACUGGGGAGCCAGAAGGCCUUAAAUGCUGAGUAGCCACUGUGAGUGAGCAGGGCUCACAGUAGUAGCAGUAUACAGUACUGUUACACAGUACACAUCUUGUGUAAUCUCCUCCUUGCUCUGGCAAACUGCUUUCAUCUGUAUGUUGUUUUCUUGAAAACAUGGAUGAUGGGAAAAGUAGUAAUCUGUCCUGUCAGACCUAAACCUGUAGGUGCAGGACAUGGGCUUCUGUUGCUUUUAGAAUUCCUUCUUUCUUGUAAAGUUAAUUCUGGGUACACAAUCUCCUUGGCAUACAAUACAUGAAAAUAAAACUCAGCUCUUCCUUACACAAGCAGGAGUGCUUUCGGUGUGCUCUUUUGAGAUGGUUUGUGGUUCAUGUUGGGUUCCUGACUUAAUGAUUUCACAAGCAUACUUUCAAAAAAAAAAAAAAGCUGACUUUCUCAAAUGGAAAACUGAAGUGUAGAAAGACUUCCUCCACUACAGUCAUACUGCUUCUGUCAGUAUCAUAAAGCUAACCAUCAGCCUAGUGAGUCAAUGGUUGUAUUUGGAGCUACACCAUAUUGGAACCCCUGCAGGACAAGCAAGGUGAAACGUUCUCCUUUUUCCCAGGGUUUCGGUAUGACACAUUCUAGACAUAUUUCAGAGCCAAACUCAUUAAAAUCAAAACCAACCAACAACAACAACGUUAGGAAAGAUUUGGUUUCCUGAUGGGAAAAGCAAGACUUUCAGUCAAAGAUGAACUCUAAUACCACUGUUAGGGAACGUUGGUGAGGCAUCUCAUCAGAUCUGAUAUAUUCUGUGUAUCUUUGGAAAUUAAGUACUGAAUCAGGUGAGAAGCAAAGCCUUUUAAUAACCUUACAAAUUUGAACCAUCAAGGAAGCACUUUUUCUUAACAUCUCUGGAAAAAGAAACAACAUCCUUUGAAGUGGAGACAGGUUGGAUUUCAGAAUGAAGCAGUUUCACCGAUUUAGACACCUGCUUAAUUAGAGGAUGAAUGCAAAAUCCUUAAACUUUAAAAGGUUUUAUGAGGCAGCACUUCAGAGAAUAAGCAUUCCUCUAGCAUUGGCAAAGAAGAGCUGCUAGCUAUUAUCUUUGGAGAUGGAUCAAAAAUGAGUAUAUUAGCAAAAAGCACUCUACAUAGAUGGUGAGAAGAGCUGUAUGUAAUUCCCAAACCUCAAACAGGAAGCGUUUUGAAAGAAUCAAGGAAAACUGGAAUCAUGGGUGCUUUAGAAACACCACUCAAAUCAUCAUGAAACCAGAAAACAAAAUGAGUAAGAAAAAAACAAACAAAGAAGCAGGUAGGUAGAUAGCAGGAAUACAGUCGUUUAAAGACUUUUAUUUUUAAUAUUUAUUUCAUAAUACUGUUGUGGUUCUAUGGUCUUUACCCAGCCCAUUUUGGGAAUACUAGCAGAACCUCCUAAAUAUUACCAAAACAGGAGAUAAAAGAGAUAAGCAGGAAAAAAAGAGCCUUUCUAACAGAACAAUGAAAAGAAGCUCAUGAGAAGUAGCUCUAACAAAUGGUUGCAAGAGCUAAGGUCUCUGCUCUGUCACUUAAUGAAAUGGUAGAGGCGCAAGCACUAUAAUCAGCAUCUGAUGAUAAUAAUACAAGAUUAAAUUUUUCUCCUUCAAAAGAAGAGAAACUGCAAUGUUCAUAACUGACAAGUGAUGAAAACAACCAAACAGCAGGGAGUUUCCUUUUUCCAGUAUAGUGGCCUAUAUGAAGACAGAAAAGUAAUGCAAUCCGAAUCAAAACCAAGGGCAAGGCUUUUAAUAUGGCACACAGUUAUUGCAAAAGACCUCAGUCUUGCUCAGAUCUGAUUGUUUAUGUAGGAAUGGAAGUUUUGAUGAAAUGAGUCCUACCUGUUGUGUGGAGGUAUGCUGGCAUUUACCCAGGAGACUGCUGCAAGUAUUGUGUCUCUUCAAUAAUAUUAAGAGCUCCCAGAAGAGCAUGUAGGCACCUUUACAUCUCACUGUAUUUAUUACAAGAAGAGCAAGAGAGUAGUUGCAUGCUGAAGAAAUAAAUCAUUCUUUGCCAGAGUAUGGCCAAAGUAUUGACUUCUCUAGCAGUAAUCAAGGUCUAUAUCCUUUAUUCAGAAUGUGACCUGAGCUGAUUAAAAUCUUACUUAAGAUUUUUCCAUCUUUCUAACUUACGAAGAUGUUGAAAAACACUCAGAAAAAAAUACAAAAAUUAUAUUAGAAGACAGCAAUUUCCAGCUGUGGAUUAUUUAUUUUUAUUCCCAUUCAUAGCUCACUGUCCUUUACAAAACACGGUUUCCUUUAACUUUUCAAAGUAACCUUGUUCUUCAAUGUCUUAAAAGAAGAAAUAUCAGACUUCUUUUUUAAAUUGCCUUUAUCAUGUUCAAUGCUGAAAACAAACUAAAGAAAACCGACAAAUUUAUUCAAUAAAAUAUAAAGAUAUAUACUGCAAAUAAAAUGUACUUGGGAAACAGAAAUAAUUAUUAUAGCUUGAAUACAGCUUAGGGCAAAACCAAUAUAUUUUGGAACUUAAAAUACCCAGGAUGCAACUAAUGUAAAAUACAAAUGUAAGCAGCCUAUUAAUUCCUGUAAAAUAAAAUGAACUAAAAAAAGACUAGGAGGCCACAAACUAAUUCUUUAAAAAUCUAAAUGGCAAAGCACGUAUUUUGCUGUAAUAUCUACCCCAGUGUAUUGUAAACAUUCAUACUAUAUUAGUUCUGAUAUUGGAGUACAGUAAAUACAGUAAAUGGUGGUAUGAUGCAAGGUAUAGUGUAUUGACUUCCAUUUUUAUUCCAAUACUGCCCCAUAUGAUAAAAUGGUAUACGAUAAACAUCUCAUAUAUUAUUGCUGCUAUGUUACCCUGCUCUCUCAUUCAACUAUGUAAUUUAGAAAUAGGUUUCAACUGUAUUGUUCAUCCCUAAUGUGAAAGCUCAAAUAUUCCAGUUAAAUUCCUUUUCUCAUUUUUAAUGACGCCACCAGCAAACAUCUAACUGUUUUCUUCACUGCUUUGUGGACUUGUCAACAGUUUUUUGACUAUACAUGAUUUUAAGCCAUAUACUGUAGUUUUCCUGAAACAAACAAACAAAAGAGCCAAAGGGGGAGGAUAUCCUCUUUCACGAGAAUUGGACAGACUGUUAGCACUACAUGUACCAAGAACAACUCCAAUCAGGCGAAUUUGUGUCUCUGUGAAACCCAACAUCCCAUUUUGUUUUUCUUCCAAGUAUGGAUGUUUUGCACAGAGUAAAAUACAAUUUUAAAACAAACAAGAAAACUACCUUCUUUUUGUUCGUACUCAGGAGGAAAUUUCCCUUCUUCUCUGUAGAAUAACAUAAGGUUACAGGAACUCACGAAUUUGUCACCGCUAGCCUGGAAAACGCCAGGUCAUUUUUAUCUGAAAAUUAAUGCAAAAAUAUACAAGCUUCAUCAGAAGCCGAAUAUGGUUGCUUUCCUUCUCCGCUGCUUAAGUUUCUGUGAAAAUAUCAAAGCUGUGAUCUGUUCUCUCCACCAAGUCUCAAUGAGUUCCUGAGGCCAGUUUAAGACCUGGAUCUUACAUUUUAACAUGAAGCAGAAAAAUCAAACUUGAUCUGCCUCAAGGCCUGAUCUAUAUCAACAAACCUCUGAGAAAGACUUUCUCGCCUAAAAGAUACUCACAGUAUGAACAGCUCCUCUUAGCCUCCAGAUCGUACCAGCUGUUUCUCUUGAAAAGGCCCCUGCCAUGCCCCUGGAAAUGGAAAAUGCCAGAAGACUCACGGCAUCCCAUGUGUUAUGGAUUUCCUUUUGAGGCAUGAUGAUACUUAUCUGAUCAAUGGCCCAAGGAAUGUAAAACUGUAAUGCAAAUUUUGUAAUCUCUGCAGUUACUCUUGAUUUUCUGCACCUGCAAAAAGAUGGGAAGGAAUUCACAUUCUUGAGCUAGAUACUAGGCUGGGGUAAAUUUACAUAGCUAAACUGAAAUCAAAGGAGCUGUGCUCAUUUAUAGGAGCUGAGUCUGUUGCAACAUUUUAUACACACAGAGAAAUCUCAAAAUCUUUUCGAUUUCCUAAUUUCAUAUGUGUGGCGGUUGUAAAUAUUUCAUAUUGGCAUUCUUGUUAGAACGCUUCAGAUCUCGUUUUUAGAAAGAUCAAAUGAUCUUAGUCAAUAUACUCUGCAUUUAAAUAGAAAAUUAGUGUUUACCUCAAAGCUUGCUUACAACAUUGAAGCAAUCUGCUUUAAUUUCCACAACUUUAUCCUUGACACUACAGCACAGAAAUGCUUUGGAUAGUCCCUAAUUAAUUAAACUUCCUAGUUGUAUAUGCAUAUACAGAAGUGGGAGAGUUACAUUAGGAUCUAUAUUCUUGAUGUCCCCUUGCUUUCCUUUUCAUUACAGAAUACGCUACAAAUCUGGGAUAGUUUACUAAAUUAUGCAAGAAAGGUAUCUGACUAUUUCCAUUUUAAAUGCAUUAAAAAUGCCAGCACCUAUUCUAGAUGUAAUAGCCUAAGAGCCUAGCCUACCUCGUAAACACGGAAGACAUAUGAAAACAUAUUUUUGUAUUCACCUGGAAAGUAAAUUUUACAACUGUGUAUUUAUAAAGAGUUCAUGAAACUAGCAAUGCAUUUAUUUUUCAAAUGAAAUGUCCAUAGCCUGUAGAAUAAUUCAGACAGGUGCUAAUUAGGUGUACAGAAAGGCCACUGAGGAUAAUUUAUAUAUCUCCCUGCAAAAGAAAAAAUGACUAAAUGUUAAUUGCUUAUAUUAUGCAACAAAUGAUUUUUUAGAAUGGCACUAAAUUAGCUGCAAAUAUUAUAAUUACAAAGUAGUGGGUAAUUUACUAAAGAUUAAUUGAAAUGAUUAAGUGCAAACAGCAUAAUUUUGCAAGGUAAUAUUAAUGCAUUUUGCACAGAAAUGAAAAAAAAACCCUCAGUGGUUGUUACUGGCUAUUUAAUGAAGUACUUUACAUGCCUCAAGAAAGCAUCAGUAGCCUCUCUCUUGUGUGCCCUUCUCUAAAAAGCGUGUUAUAUUUUUGCAGUGAAAAUCAUUGUAGUGUUGAUAAUAAUUAGAAUGUGUAAACCAGCCUAUUAUAAAGACGGACCUGAACUCAAUUGCAUGGGAGUGACACAAAAAUAUUGUUGCACAGUCUGUGUCCAGCAGCCUUUUCUGAAAGCUGUAGCAACUGUGAAUAUUUACUAUAUAAGAACUUAAGCAACUGCAAACACUGUUUAAAUACAUUCCUCAUAACCAGCCAAAGGAGACAUGCUUUAAGCAAGAUUUGAAAAUACUACUACACAACAAUAGUUUAAAUUCAUUUUCCUGAAUUCAGUGCAGCAGUUUCUUGCAUACAGGCUUCAUAUUGUGCUGUACGUAGUGCAAGGGAAUGGGGCUGAAUCUGGAGAGGAGAAAGGGUCUUGAAAAAUUGUUUUGGUCCAGAAUGGGUUUCUUAUUUAGGCUUAUUCUCUAUUUCAAAUGCAGGAUACUUUUCUGAGUUUAUCAUCUAUUACAAUCCUUUGGCCAAUAUUUAUUUUUUGUGGCUUAAUAUUUAAUACAACUCAAAAUGUUGUUCCUUAGAGAGUGACAAUGCAAACCAGAGAACAAUUCCAGACUUCAGGGGCAACAGGAGUUACGACAUUAUCACGUUCUUUUUAACUGAGGCAUGCCGCAGCUGUAACGACAUUGACUGUCACAUCCUUCAGUUUUCAUUAAUGCACAUGCCAUAUGUCAUUAAAAACAACACUGUGAGUAGUGAAAUGCUGUAAAUGAAAAUAAAUGUCUCAAAUGCUUUUGGCUAGUUGUAAUGUGAGCACUUCUGAUAUCAUGCUGGUCAAUGUGCAAGAUACAUUUUAGGAAAGGCUGAGGGAGCUGUCUCUCUUUAGUUUGGAGAAGAGGAGACUGAGGGGUGACCUUAUAAAUGUUUAUAAAUAUAUGAAGAGUGAGUGUCAGGAGGACAGAGACAGGCUCUUCUCGGUGACAUCCAAUGAUAGGACAAGGGGCAAUGGGUGUAAGCUGGAACAUAGGAGGUUCCGCUUAAAUAUGAGACAAAACUUUUUUUACAGUGAGGGUGACAGAGCACUGGAACAGGCUGCCCAGGGGGGUUGUGGAGUCUUCUUCUCUGGAGACAUUCAAAACCCACCUGGAUGUGUUCCUGUGUGACCUGAUCUAGGUGUUCCUGCUCCGGCAGGGGGAUUGGAAUAGAUGAUCUGUCACGGUCCUUUCUAAUCCCUAACAUUAUGUGAUUCUGUGAAUGUCCCCUAUAUAUACAGACCCAUAUGCAGAGAGAUGAAGGAAGAUUGUGCAUCAAUUACUUCCCACUUAAAAAAUCAGCUGAAAUCCCCUUGAAUCCCCACGUUAGUUAGGAAUUUUUGACCGUAAUUUUAGCUAAGCCUUAAAAUCUGCUAAAUAUGAAGAGUCCCAGUCAGCAACAUAAGGACUUCCUGGAUUGUUUUCCUACUCAGUAUCUUACUUUAAUGUGCUUCAGCUCUUUUCACUCGAACAGGUCUUGCUUAAACCUAAUCAUGUGCAGUAUUGAAUAAGAACGGUUCAGUAAGUCUGUGCAAAAAGGCUCAUCUAACGUUAAAAAGAAGACUGCACACAGCAUCAUUAGGACAGUAUUGAGAAGACCCAUACAGCAUAAGAGAGUCAAACUGAAAAAUUAUGAUAUGUGUUACAGUCCUGGUAACAAAAUAAAAUAGGGAUAUAUUAAAUACAGAUCUGAUUUAAGAGAUCAAAGAGAUGUGAAUCUCAUAGCCAGAUACCCAUACCCAGAGCCUAUGAAGUAAAUGCAGCUGGACAUAAUUAUUUGUGUUGCUCUAUCAAGCUCUGACAGAUAUUUAUACCUCAAAAGGUUCAUUACUGCGUGAGAGAUCAGAAUCAACAGUUCUUUACACAAUGACAGAGUACCUGGUUCAGGACAGGACAUAACACUGGCAACAGGUGAGCCAGGAAAAAAAAUCAAGGCCGAAAACAAGUUUUUGUAGAGUACACGAAUUGCAAAGAAAGUGCAAUUCAUAGCAGGUGUCUGUGAAGUUGCCUUAAGAUGCAGUCUAGAUUCUCCUGCUGCUCUUUGCUGCUGCUCUUUGCCUGCCCAGUCCCUAUGCAUAAACAUGGAGAGGUGUAAAAGCUGUUGAAAAUUAGGGGAGAACACUCAGCUCAGGGCCUUGGAAAACACAGCUGGAGGUUGCCAUGCAAUGGCAACACCGCAGCCACAGGUGCUUUUGUCCAUCUGUGUUCACUUUUCUCCCUGAUACUUCCAUAGCCAGGAAGGAGAACAGUGAUACACAAACCACCUGAAGCUCUCACAUGAACCUGGUGUAACAUGUUGCCCAAAGAACAGUGAGACACUAGGAACUGACUGUAUGUCCAUGGCAACUUUGUCUUAUUUGUUAAGAAGCCUACAUCGCUAUCAAGAGAAAAUUAUAGAUUGUUUUUACUUACAAAUGCAUGACAGCAGUUACUUUCCAACGCUGGCAUUCAGAAAUGCUGGCACAGCAAAAUAUUAAAAGAAAGUCAUAGCAAAACAAUAAACAUUCAAAAAGCAGUGGCUAAAUAAAAUUCAUAACUGUUAGGCAAAGCUACAGCAAUGCUCUUAGACUGGUGUGUUAUUUUACGUUGAGAUUACACAGACAAGUUCAAAAGUAUUUUGAAUUUAGACCUUUGAAAUUACUGAGAAUUACAGUCUUUGAUAUCAAACUAAGAUUUUGCCAAAUAGGCAUCUUGAUCAUUCAAAAAGAAAUGCUUCCUGUCUGACACAGGAACUUUAUUUUGCCUUUGCUAGUACACAUUUUUUUUGUUUGAUGGAAAAUACUCUUUUUUAUAUGUAUGUAACUGAUCCUGAGAAAAAUAACAAAUUAUCAGUAAAAAUAUACUGCAUGGCUCUUUACAGCUGCACCAUUUCUGAUGCACAUUAUGAACAGAUUUCAUGCCAGCUUGGCCAGAACUCUUCUUACAGUGUAAAAGUACAUCAGCGUGAAAUGCAUUAAUAGCUGUUGAAUCCUCUGUUCUGCGCCUAUUAAAGUAUUGAGUCCAACAAAAUAAAUUGAUGAAUCUACCUCAUCCCACUGUUUGAAUUUGUUCUAGUUUUGUCACAGCAACUUGAAAAGGGUUGUCUUGUUUAGCUUCAGAGAUGAAUGCUACAUCAUAAAAAUACUAACCAACCCCAAAAUUCAAACACUCAAUUUUUCACAUUUUUUUGAUUAGCUAUAUUAAAGGUUUAGCAACAGCAAAAAGUUCCCUGGGUGAGUUAUUCCAUACACACUUACUUUCAGGGUUUCUGCACUUGCCCUGCUACAGCUAAAUACUAGGAUAGCUGCAUCACUGGUCUGAGCUAAAACCACAGAACUUUUAGAGGAAAGACCUCAAAAAGACAUGCAAGUUCCAGGUAUUCAAGUUCCCACUCUGCAGGUGUGAAGAAGAGAAAAGGCCAAGCUGCCCAGCAGAAAUCUGUUAGCUUCAGAGCUCAACCCUGAAACCACACCUCUAUCCACAGGAAUCCUGAUGGAGACUUAAGUGUGCAAAUGCUGAUGUGUGUGCCCGAAUAACAAUGACAGUAUCUCAGUUGUGAGAAUACUAAAUUAGGGGUCAGGUUCACAAGCAUGAAAAACCUUUGAAUUUCUUCAGUGAAGCCACAGUGAUCAGUAUUACCUGAGGAGCUGGUGAUAUGUUAGCACCAGAGGUACGUUUCUGUGUCCGCACAGAGACCAAACUGUCUAACAGCAGCCGUCACAACUGAUCCUUUAAGACUGCAGGAAUGAUACUGUCCUUUCAUAGUACAAAUGACAUGACUUGCACACCCCCUCAGGUAAAAGUGCGCUUUUCCAAAGGGCACUGAAAAUGAAUACAAGUUGCACUUUUAAUUAUGGUUCAAUAGACUGGUGCAGCUCAAAACUCCGGAAAGUACAGGACAGACAUUUUUGUACCUUUGGGAAAACUGAUUUACAUUGAUAUGAUUUGGAAAACACUAUGUAGUGAUACUAAUAUCCUUUCCAUUUUGAAAAAUCAGAACUCAAAGUAUUUCAUGUUAGCAUAAGUAUCUUCUUCCAUUUUAUCUCCUUGUUCCAACAUGAAAAUUGAAUUAUUUUAGAAAACUUAGCUCUUUUCAUUUUAGAGACAACUCUUUCACAGCUGGAUGGUUCUGGUUACACUUUUAUGUCUGUAAAUAUGAACUCAUAGCCCAAAUUAAAAACAAAACUGAAGCUCCACCUCUGCAAAUAUAUUUAGACAUGUUCACUAAUGCUAUCUGAAAACAUACAAAUAUAGUGAGUCUUUGUCCACUUAUUGUAUACUUGUCUUGUAUUAUUGCCAUUUUAUAAAAUGGCACACAGUAAUACUGGCACAUGGCACCUUUUUUGAAUCAGCAUGUCUUUCAUAAUCAAAGUUGCCAAUAAAAUGCCUGAAGCUGUAAGAUACAGGGUUCUUUCUUCUGAUUGACAAUGGCUGUGUGGCUCCAAGUAUCAAAAGUGGUGUUUUACAAAAAACAAAGGUAAAUGUUUUACAUUAAAUCUUAUAAAACUGUACAUAAUAAUAGUCUACAACAUGAAAAUGGCCAUUAAACUGUUGUAAUAGUUAUGAAAUGUAGUAAGUAUAACAAUUAUAAUGCUUCAUAAAUUUAUCAUUAAUCACUGUAUUCAUACAGUUGUGUUUGUAUAUAUAUAUUCAAUGGCACUGUAAACAUAGUUGUAAAACACACAUUAACUCUUAACCCAUUAGAAGUUAUGAUAGUACUUUUCAUCUGAAAAGUUAAAAUGUAUCAAUGUAUCAUUAAUUUUUAAAAAAAUAGCCUUCUAAUAUAAUGCAUAUUUUGGCAUUUUCUAGGAUAGCAAUCAUGAUGAGACAUUAUAGAGAAUGUUCUAGAUUUGAUUGCUUUACAUUUACAACUAUCAUGAUACAAAAUUUUAAACAUUAAAUGUAAUUAAAUAAUACAGAGCUUAUGAAACAGAUGAUUUGAGAGAUCCACAAUGCGCAAAAUCUAGUUUGUGUGUAAUGGGAGUUCCUGGUAACUUACAUCUCUGGGACCUUUAUGGAAAAUUUAAGUCAUUUUCUCUUUAACAUCAUAUAUGCAAAGUUUGAACUGAAUUAUCAUUUUUUUUUGCUCUGUACAAAACCGCAU